RNAcentral lists this transfer RNA (71 nucleotides) under Perkinsus marinus ATCC 50983. Its description in RNAcentral is "tRNA-His". Lineage: Eukaryota; Perkinsozoa; Perkinsida; Perkinsidae. The record is from RNAcentral.
GUCGCUAUCGUCUAGUGGUUAGGACGUUACGUUGUGGCCGUGACACCCCGGUUCAAAUUCGGGUAGUGACU